AGGCUGCAACUCGCCNGCAUGAAGUCGGAAUUGCUAGUAAUCGCAGAUCAGCAUGCUGCGGUGAAUACGUUCCCGGGCCUUGUACACACCGCCCGUCACACCAUGGGAGUCGGUAACACCCGAAGUCGGUAGCCUAACCGUAAGGAGGGCGCCGCCGAAGGUGGGAUUGAUGACUGGGGUGAAGUCGUAACAAGGUACC
Molecule: ribosomal RNA, 199 nt
Filed under: uncultured bacterium
Lineage: Bacteria
Description: partial 16S ribosomal RNA
Rfam family: Bacterial small subunit ribosomal RNA
Source: RNAcentral